Molecule: microRNA, 23 nt
Filed under: Eisenia fetida (common brandling worm)
Lineage: Eukaryota; Metazoa; Annelida; Clitellata; Crassiclitellata; Lumbricidae
Description: Efe-Mir-67-P2_3p (mature (co-guide))
Source: RNAcentral
CACAACCUACUUGAAUAAGGUAG